AUUGAACGCUGGCGGCAUGCUUUACACAUGCAAGUCGAACGGCAGCGCGGGCUUCGGCCUGGCGGCGAGUGGCGAACGGGUGUGUAAUGCAUCGGAACGUGCCCAGUAGUGGGGGAUAGCCCGGCGAAAGCCGGAUUAAUACCGCAUACGACCUGAGGGUGAAAGCGGGGGACCGAAAGGCCUCGCGCUAUGGGAGCGGCCGAUGUCGGAUUAGCUAGUUGGUGGGGUAAGGGCUUACCAAGGCGACGAUCCGUAGCUGGUCUGAGAGGGCGGCCAGCCACACUGGGACUGAGACACGGCCCAGACUCCUACGGGAGGCAGCAGUGGGGAAUUUUGGACAAUGGGGGCAACCCUGAUCCAGCCAUGCCGCGUGCGGGAAGAAGGCCUUCGGGUUGUAAACCGCUUUUGUUCGGGACGAAAUCCUCUGGGCUAAUACCCCGGGGGGAUGACGGUACCGGAAGAAUAAGCACCGGCUAACUACGUG
This 484-nucleotide ribosomal RNA is filed under the name uncultured bacterium. Its description in RNAcentral is "partial 16S ribosomal RNA". It matches the Rfam family "Bacterial small subunit ribosomal RNA", at positions 28 to 507 of the family's 1533-position model. The record is from RNAcentral.